GUGCCAGCAGCCGCGGUAAUUCCAGCUCCAAUAGCGUAUAUUAAAGUUGUUGCAGUUAAAAAGCUCGUAGUUGAAACUUGGGCCUGGCUGGCGGGUCCGCCUCACCGCGUGCACUCGUCCGGCCGGGCCUUCCUUCUGAAGAACCUCAUGCCCUUCACUGGGCGUGCUGGGGAAUCAGGACUUUUACUUUGAAAAAAUUAGAGUGUUCAAAGCAGGCCUUUGCUCGAAUACGUUAGCAUGGAAUAAUAAAAUAGGGCGUGCGUUUCUAUUUUGUUGGUUUCUAGAGACGCCGCAAUGAUUAACAGGAACAGUCGGGGGCAUCAGUAUUCAGUUGUCAGAGGUGAAAUUCUUGGAUUUACUGAAGACUAACUACUGCGAAAGCAUUUGCCAAGGAUGUUUUCAUUAAUCAGUGAACGAAAGUUAGGGGAUCGAAGACGAUCAGAUACCGUCGUAGUCUUAACCGUAAACUAUGCCGACUAGGGAUCGGGCGAUGUUCUUUUUCUGACUCGCUCGGCACCUUACGAGAAAUCAAAGUUUUUGGGUUCUGGGGGGAUUAUGGUCGCAAGGCUGAAACUUAAAGAAAUUGACGGAAGGUCACCACCAGGCGUGAGCCUGCGGCUUAAUUUGACUCAACACGGGGAAACUCACCAGGUCCAGAUGAAAUAGGAUUGACAGAUUGAGAGCUCUUUCUUGAUUUUCAGUGUGUGCAUGGCCGUUCUCAGUUCGUGGGUGACUGUCUGCUUAUAGCGAUACGAGCGAGACCUUACUCUGCUAAAUAGCCAGGCUAACUUUUGGGUGGGUCGCCGGCUUCUUCAGAGAGACUAU
This 825-nucleotide ribosomal RNA is filed under the name uncultured fungus. RNAcentral's name for it is "SSU rRNA". It matches the Rfam family "Eukaryotic small subunit ribosomal RNA", at positions 564 to 1423 of the family's 1831-position model. Lineage: Eukaryota; Fungi. The record is from RNAcentral.